RNAcentral lists this ribosomal RNA (472 nucleotides) under uncultured bacterium. RNAcentral describes it as "bacterial SSU rRNA". It matches the Rfam family "Bacterial small subunit ribosomal RNA", at positions 28 to 507 of the family's 1533-position model. The record is from RNAcentral.
GAUGAACGCUGGCGGCGUGCUUAACACAUGCAAGUCGAACGAAGACAUCUGAGUGCUUGCACUUGGAUGGACUGAGUGGCGGACGGGUGAGUAACGCGUGGGUAACCUGCCUUAUACAGGGGGAUAACAGUUGGAAACGACUGCUAAUACCGCAUAAGCGCACGGUAUCGCAUGAUACAGUGUGAAAAACUCCGGUGGUAUAAGAUGGACCCGCGUCUGAUUAGCUUGUUGGUGAGGUAACGGCCCACCAAGGCGACGAUCAGUAGCCGGCCUGAGAGGGUGAACGGCCACAUUGGGACUGAGACACGGCCCAAAACUCCUACGGGGAGGCAGCAGUGGGGGAUAUUGGACAAUGGGGGAAACCCUGAUCCAGCGAUGCCGCGUGAGGGAAGAAAGGUUUUCGGAUUGUAAACCUCUGUGGACAGGGACGAUAAUGACGGUACCUGUUUAGAAAGCCACGGCUAACUACGUG